Molecule: long non-coding RNA, 325 nt
Filed under: Danio rerio (zebrafish)
Lineage: Eukaryota; Metazoa; Chordata; Actinopteri; Cypriniformes; Danionidae
Description: long non-coding RNA NONDRET013902
Source: RNAcentral
AUUACUGAGGCUUUAUUUACCGUCAGUGAACGCGUUUGUUCGGUUGUUCGGCGGAAAACUGAUCAACAACACAGAAACGAGAGGCGCUUUUGUUUGUGUAGAGAAACCGUGAACGCGCAGAACGGGCCGAGAAAACAGCAGCAGCAUCUUCAUCAUCCUCAUCUUCAGUGUGUGUUUGUGCUGGAAAUCUGAUGUGAGCAGAGCUUCAUCUGGAUCUGCAGGAGCAGGUUGUCUGUGUUCUUCAGUGUGAGGAAGAGAGAGAGCGAGAGACACAGACACACACAGUCUAUCUUUCUCUCUCUCUCUCUUUCUUCUCUCCAUCAUG